CCUACGGGUGGCUGCAGUGAGGAAUAUUGGACAAUGGACGCAAGUCUGAACCAGCCAUGCAGCGUGAAGGAAGACGGCUCUAUGGGUUGUAAACUGCUUUUGUACGAGGGUAAACUCAGAUACGCGUAUGUGUCUGAAAGUAUCGUACGAAUAAGGAUCGGCUAACUCCGUGCCAGCAGCCGCGGUAAUACGGAGGAUUCAAGCGUUAUCCGGAUUUAUUGGGUUUAAAGGGUGCGUAGGCGGUCGGAUAAGUUAGAGGUGAAAUCCCGAGGCUCAACUGUGGAAUUGCCGUUGAUACUGUCAGUCUAGAGAGCAGUAGCGGUAGGCGGAAUGCAUGGUGUAGCGGUGAAAUGCUUAGAGAUCACACAGAACACCGAUUGCGAAGGCAGCUCACCAAGCUACGUCUGACGUUGAGGCACGAAAGCGUGGGGAGCAAACAGGAUUAGAUACCCUGGUAGUC
RNAcentral lists this ribosomal RNA (460 nucleotides) under uncultured bacterium. Its description in RNAcentral is "partial 16S ribosomal RNA". It matches the Rfam family "Bacterial small subunit ribosomal RNA", at positions 338 to 795 of the family's 1533-position model. The record is from RNAcentral.